RNAcentral lists this ribosomal RNA (467 nucleotides) under uncultured bacterium. RNAcentral's name for it is "partial 16S ribosomal RNA". It matches the Rfam family "Bacterial small subunit ribosomal RNA", at positions 28 to 507 of the family's 1533-position model. The record is from RNAcentral.
GAUGAACGCUGGCGGCGUGCUUAACACAUGCAAGUCGAACGGAAAGGCUCCUGCUUGCAGGGGUACUCGAGUGGCGAACGGGUGAGUAACACGUGGGUGAUCUGCCCUGCACUUCGGGAUAAGCCUGGGAAACUGGGUCUAAUACCGGAUAGGACCACAUUUUGGAUGGUGUGGUGGAAAGCUUUUCGGUGUGGGAUGAGCUCGCGGCCUAUCAGCUUGUUGGUGGGGUAAUGGCCUACCAAGGCGUCGACGGGUAGCCGGCCUGAGAGGGUGUACGGCCACAUUGGGACUGAGAUGCGGCCCAGACUCCUACGGGAGGCAGAAGUGGGGAAUAUUGCACAAUGGGCGCAAGCCUGAUGCAGCGACGCCGCGUGGGGGAUGACGGCCUUCGGGUUGUAAACUCCUUUCGCUAGGGACGAAGCGUUUUUGUGACGGGACCUGGAGAAGAAGCACCGGCUAACUACGUG